This 253-nucleotide ribosomal RNA is filed under the name uncultured bacterium. RNAcentral describes it as "partial 16S ribosomal RNA". It matches the Rfam family "Bacterial small subunit ribosomal RNA", at positions 524 to 776 of the family's 1533-position model. The record is from RNAcentral.
UACGAAGGGGGCUAGCGUUGCUCGGAAUCACUGGGCGUAAAGCGCACGUAGGCGGAUCUUUAAGUCAGGGGUGAAAUCCCAAGGCUCAACCUUGGAACUGCCUUUGAUACUGGGGAUCUCGAGUACGGAAGAGGGUCUCGGAAUUCCCGGUGUAGAGGUGAAAUUCGUAGAUAUCGGGAGGAACACCAGUGGCGAAGGCGGAGACCUGGGCCGAUACUGACGCUGAGGUGCGAAAGCGUGGGGAGCAAACAGG